Molecule: ribosomal RNA, 498 nt
Filed under: uncultured bacterium
Lineage: Bacteria
Description: bacterial SSU rRNA
Rfam family: Bacterial small subunit ribosomal RNA
Source: RNAcentral
AGCGAACGUUAGCGGCGCGCCUAACACAUGCAAGUCGCACGAGAAACGGAGCAAUCCGCGGUACAGUGGCGCACGGGUGAGUAACACGUGGAUGACCUUCCCUGGAGUGGUGGAUAACCUGCCGAAAGGCGGGCUAAUACAGCAUGGGACCGCGACGCUUUGGCGAUGUGGUGAAAGCGGGCCUCUAUAUAUAAGCUCGCGCUCCGGGACGGGUCCGCGUCCCAUCAGCUAGUUGGUGAGGUAACGGCUCACCAAGGCUUCGACGGGUAGCUGGUCUGAGAGGAUGGCCAGCCACACUGGAACUGAGACACGGUCCAGACUCCUACGGGAGGCAGCAGUGGGGAAUCUUGCGCAAUGGGCGAAAGCCUGACGCAGCGACGCCGCGUGGGCGAAGAAGGCCUUCGGGUUGUAAAGCCCUGUGGGGAGAACGAACCGUACGGGGGCGAACACCCUCCGUGCCUGACGGUACUCCUUUAGCAAGCAUCGGCUAACUCUGUG